AGCGGCGGACGGGUGAGUAACGCGUGGGUAACCUGCCUCAUACAGGGGGAUAACAGUUGGAAACGGCUGCUAAUACCGCAUAAGCGCACAGUACCGCAUGGUACGGUGUGAAAAACUCCGGUGGUAUGAGAUGGACCCGCGUCUGAUUAGGUAGUUGGUGGGGUAACGGCCUACCAAGCCGACGAUCAGUAGCCGACCUGAGAGGGUGACCGGCCGCAUUGGGACUGAGACACGGCCCAA
RNAcentral lists this ribosomal RNA (240 nucleotides) under uncultured bacterium. Its description in RNAcentral is "partial 16S ribosomal RNA". It matches the Rfam family "Bacterial small subunit ribosomal RNA", at positions 94 to 334 of the family's 1533-position model. The record is from RNAcentral.